AUCCAUGCUUCCAUGGGACCUGCCAGCGUGGCAGCCUCCCUUCCUAUUCAUGGUAGAGCAAACGGCCCCCCUUGCCUCUUGGCAUAGCUCCUCCGUGGUCAGUUGGUGCGAGACUCUGACUUGGGCAAGGGACAGGU
RNAcentral lists this small nucleolar RNA (137 nucleotides) under Pogona vitticeps (central bearded dragon). RNAcentral describes it as "Small nucleolar RNA SNORA24 (ENSPVIG00000001289.1)". It matches the Rfam family "Small nucleolar RNA SNORA24". Rfam says of the family: ACA24 is a member of the H/ACA class of snoRNA that guide the sites of modification of uridines to pseudouridines. Lineage: Eukaryota; Metazoa; Chordata; Lepidosauria; Squamata; Agamidae. The record is from Rfam by way of RNAcentral.